AGACGCGCGAUAGGAUGGCGCAGACACGAAAAACUACAUAAAAAUUUAGUAUACCACCCAUAUAGGUUUGAAAAAUCCGACUGCAGAGGAUUGACCCAGCAAUGCGAACCAAAUGAAAGCCUUCAAGCCUUUGUUUCAAGUUGGGUCAACCAUUUAGGAUCCAAAGAAGCUUUAAGUGGUUGUAGCAUUAUUUGUGCCCAGAUAUGGCUGUAAAUUUGAAGCAACAGCCAGAAAACAAUAUGUCCAACUCCAAUGUAUGGCACAUGAGGGGUUUUCCUGUUUGGAUAGUGGGCUGUGGUUAAGCUCAAGGUGGCCCUACUUGGAAGCUUCCCCAGAUGGAGUCGUGUCAUGUGACUGUCAUGGAACCGGGGUGUGUGAAAUCAAGAGCAAAUAGUAUGAAGUCAGUCUGAAGAUGUGUGCUGGACAGCCUGGCUUUUGUCUCAUCAAGGAUGGAGAUACUGUACAACUAGAUAGAAAGCAUCCUUACUAUUAUCAGGUCUAGACUCAACUUCACAUUGUGGAUGUGCAAUAUUGUGAUUUUUGUAGUAUUAAAUGAAAAUGUUAAUUAUGUUGAAAUAAUUUUGCCAGAGGAUCAGCUCUGGGAAACUACAACUCCCAACGUUCAGCAGUACUUUACAUGGUGCAUCCUACCUGAAAUCUUGGAUAUUCCAGGAUAUUCCAUAAAAUCUAAACUAAAAAAAUAUAUAGUUUUGUUUGAUUGAUGAAAUAAAAAUAUUUUAAAAAUUGGACUGGAUUCUGUUUUUGAUCAAACCAAUUGGAGGUGUUUGUCUCUAAUUUUUUUUUUCUUUUUUUCAGAUAGGUAAAAAGAGGUUUUUCACUAUCUUGACAUGUUUCAGCUACACGCUUCCUUCCUCAAAAAGGUCACGUGAUGUUGUGACAUUUCUUGACAGCUGUUUUAUUCGGGCCUGCCAGGCAGCAGAGGGCACGGUCUUCCCUUGCUGUUAAACAUAGUUGACAGUAUUAGCCUGAUAAGAUUAUGUUUGUCUCUGUUUUUGG
This is a long non-coding RNA of Melanotaenia boesemani (Boeseman's rainbowfish), 1017 nucleotides long. RefSeq lists it as uncharacterized. The record is from RefSeq and is a predicted model, not a curated record. The transcript has 3 exons. Lineage: Eukaryota; Metazoa; Chordata; Actinopteri; Atheriniformes; Melanotaeniidae.